This 495-nucleotide ribosomal RNA is filed under the name uncultured bacterium. Its description in RNAcentral is "partial 16S ribosomal RNA". It matches the Rfam family "Bacterial small subunit ribosomal RNA", at positions 28 to 507 of the family's 1533-position model. The record is from RNAcentral.
GACGAACGCUGGCGGCGUGCCUAAUACAUGCAAGUAGAACGCUGAAGGAGGAGCUUGCUUCUCUGGAUGAGUUGCGAAGGGGGGAGUAACGCGUAGGUAACCUGCCUGGUAGCGGGGGAUAACUAUUGGAAACGAUAGCUAAUACCGCAUAAGAGUAGAUGUUGCAUGACAUUUGCUUAAAAGGUGCAAUUGCAUCACUACCAGAUGGACCUGCGGUGUAUUAGCUAGUUGGUGGGGUAACGGCUCACCAAGGCGACGAUACAUAGCCGACCUGAGAGGGUGAUCCGCCACACUGGGACUGAGACACGGCCCAGGCUCCUACGGGAGGCAGCAGUAGGGAAGCUUCGGCAAUGGACGGAAGUCUGACCGAGCAACGACGCGUGAGUGAAGAAGGUUUUUGGAUCGUAAAGCUCCGUUGUAAGAGAAGAACGAGUGUGAGAGUGGAAAGUUCACACUGUGACGGUAUCUUACCAGAAAGCGACGGCUAACUACGUG